CCUACGGGAGGCAGCAGUGGGGAAUAUUGCACAAUGGGGGAAACCCUGAUGCAGCGACGCCGCGUGAGCGAUGAAGUAUUUCGGUAUGUAAAGCUCUGUCAGCAGGGAAGAAAAUGACGGUACCUGACUAAUAAGCCCCGUGUAAAUACGUUCCAGCAGCCGCGGUGAUACGUAGGGGGCAGGCGUUAUCCGGAUUUACUGGGUGGAAAGGGAGCGUAGACGGCGGUGCAAGUCAGAUGUGAAAGCCCGGGGCUCAACCCCGGGACUGCAUUUGGAACUGUGCUGCUAGAGUGUCGGAGAGGCAGGCGGAAUUCCUAGUGUAGCGGUGAAAUGCGUAGAUAUUAGGAGGAACACCAGUGGCGAAGGCGGCCCGCUGGACGAUGACUGACGUUGAGGCUCGAAAGCGUGGGGAGCAAACAGGAUUAGAUACCCGAGUAGUC
RNAcentral lists this ribosomal RNA (440 nucleotides) under uncultured bacterium. Its description in RNAcentral is "partial 16S ribosomal RNA". It matches the Rfam family "Bacterial small subunit ribosomal RNA", at positions 338 to 795 of the family's 1533-position model. The record is from RNAcentral.